Sinocyclocheilus anshuiensis is the source of this 73-nucleotide long non-coding RNA. RefSeq lists it as uncharacterized. Lineage: Eukaryota; Metazoa; Chordata; Actinopteri; Cypriniformes; Cyprinidae. The record is from RefSeq and is a predicted model, not a curated record. The transcript has 3 exons.
UGGGCGUGCUGGGGUGUCAUCACUUACCCUGAGCUGGUCCGUAUCACAACUCAUUGGUUGUCCUGGAAUCUGU